Molecule: ribosomal RNA, 427 nt
Filed under: uncultured bacterium
Lineage: Bacteria
Description: partial 16S ribosomal RNA
Rfam family: Bacterial small subunit ribosomal RNA
Source: RNAcentral
GUGGGGAAUAUUGGGCAAUGGGGGAAACCCUGACCCAGCGACGCCGCGUGAGGGAAGAAGGCCUUAGGGUCGUAAACCUCUGUUGUGUGGGAAGAAGAGCGUGACGGUACCACACGAGGAAGUCCCGGCUAACUACGUGCCAGCAGCCGCGGUAAUACGUAGGGGACGAGCGUUGUCCGGAUUUACUGGGCGUAAAGGGCGCGUAGGCGGUCAUUUAAGUCAGCUGUGAAAUGGUGCGGCUUAACCGCAUCAUGCGGUUGAAACUGGAUGACUGGAGUGCUGGAGAGGCAAGUGGAAUUCCCAGUGUAGCGGUGAAAUGCGUAGAUAUUGGGAAGAACACCGGUGGCGAAGGCGACUUGCUGGCCAGCAACUGACGCUGAGGCGCGAAAGCCAGGGGAGCAAACGGGAUUAGAAACCCGUGUAGUCC